RNAcentral lists this ribosomal RNA (419 nucleotides) under uncultured bacterium. RNAcentral describes it as "bacterial SSU rRNA". It matches the Rfam family "Bacterial small subunit ribosomal RNA", at positions 355 to 788 of the family's 1533-position model. The record is from RNAcentral.
UGGGGAAUAUUGGGCAAUGGGCGCAAGCCUGACCCAGCAACGCCGCGUGAAGGAAGAAGGCUCUCGGGUUGUAAACUUCUUUUAUCAGGGACGAAACAAAUGACGGUACCUGAUGAAUAAGCCACGGCUAACUACGUGCCAGCAGCCGCGGUAAUACGUAGGUGGCAAGCGUUAUCCGGAUUUACUGGGUGUAAAGGGCGUGUAGGCGGGAUGGUAAGUCAGAUGUGAAAACUAUGGGCUCAACCCAUAGCCUGCAUUUGAAACUAUCGUUCUUGAGUGCUGGAGAGGCAAUCGGAAUUCCGUGUGUAGCGGUGAAAUGCGUAGAUAUACGGAGGAACACCAGUGGCGAAGGCGGAUUGCUGGACAGUAACUGACGCUGAGGCGCGAAGGCGUGGGGAGCAAACAGGAUUAGAUACCCC